This 864-nucleotide long non-coding RNA is filed under the name Homo sapiens (human). Its description in RNAcentral is "ENTPD1 antisense RNA 1". Lineage: Eukaryota; Metazoa; Chordata; Mammalia; Primates; Hominidae. The record is from RNAcentral.
GGACCCAGAGGGAGCGGAGCACGCGCCUUUGGGAAUCUUCGGUGCGCCAAGUCUGUUCGCCGCCGGGGUCUAUCACCCCCGCCCCUCGCCUCUGCCCGUGAGCGUCAGCUGGCUUGGCUUUUUCAGAGGAAACAGAGACUCUCAGACAUGAAUACUGUGACACUGACCACCAGGCCAACUUAACAUCAGCAGAUAUCCUGUCUCAGAUGAAGAGAUGGAGUCUCGCACUGUCGCCCCAGUUGGAGUGUAAUGGUGCGAUCUCGGCUCACUGCAAGCUCCGCCUCCCGGGUUCAUGCCAUUCUCCUGCCUCAGCCUCCUGAGUAGCUGGAACUACAGAAUGGCCUGUCCAGAAGACAGCCAAAUACAUCCUUCAAACAGACUUCACUGCAGGAGACAGAGUGGAUUCAUCCUGUAUUCUCCAUGUAGACUUCCAUCUUCAUGAGUACUCCAAGAAGAUGGUUCAGUUGACUAUUGCAAAGUCUCAGGUAUGUCUUUAUCAGCAGCAUGAAAAUGGACUAAUAGUACCAGUAGAGUGGGGCAUUGCUGAAAAGAUACCCGAAAAUGUGGAAGCAACUUUGGAACUGGGUGUUGAAAUAAUCUGGAGGGCUCAGAAGAAGAUAGGAAAAUGUAGGAAAGUUUGGAACCUCCUAGAGACUGUGAAUGGCAUUGACAAAAAUACUGAUAGUGAUAUGAACAAUAAGGUCCAGGCUGAGGUGGUCUCAGAUGGAGAUGAAGACCUUGUUGGGAACUGAAGUAAAGGUGACCCUUGUUAUGUUUUAGCAAGGAGACUGGCAGCAUUUCACCCUUGCCCUAGAGAUUUGUGGAACUUAGAGCUUGAGAGAGAUGACUUAGGGUAUCUGGUGG